Molecule: small RNA, 1341 nt
Filed under: Pongo abelii (Sumatran orangutan)
Lineage: Eukaryota; Metazoa; Chordata; Mammalia; Primates; Hominidae
Description: sense overlapping
Rfam family: SOX2 overlapping transcript exon 3 (bases 908-1183)
Source: RNAcentral
UUUCUCCAUCCUAGUAAUCAAAUUUGAGCAAAAUCAAAUGGGGCUUUCUAUGAAAGUACCUUUUGUUGAUCUGAACGAGCUGGUAAUUUACAAAAUACCCUUCCUUUGUGAGGAAGGCUAAAGAAAAAAAGAAUCAGUAGCUUUUAAAGCUGGGCCUUAGUGGGACUCUAAAUGCAAUGAAAGCAGUCUGUGUUGAGAGAUUGAAAUGCAUUUCAAAGCCAGGCCUGACUCGGGGUACAAGGAAGAACAGACCUAUGUGCAUUUUGUAGGAAGAAAACUGUGAAUGGAAAAAGGAGAAGGGGAGAGAAACAGGGGGGAAAUCUGGAUAAUACAUUAAAGUAACCAUAAUUUUGGAGAUGCAUUCAUCUUAUUGAAAAUAUAUUUCCUCAUGGUUGUGAUUCCUCUUCACUCUUUUGAAUUUGGAAGGACGGCAUACACAUCUGAAAAACACCACUACUUCCUUCAUUGGACUGCAAGGUAUUUCUGUUUGGAAAAGUAAUGGAGUCCAGUCAACUUCAUUGAUCUCCAAGGACUGUCAAAAUUAUAAAACUUGCUGUGGAGCUCUGACAUGCCAGAAGCCGCUAGAAAAAGAAGUUUGACAUUCAGAAACUUAUCAAGAGGUUCUACUCUUUGGAUAGAGACCAAAAUAAUACUUUGAAAAAGCCUGACAGGUUUCUUCGGAAAAGUGGCCAUCCAUGGAAUGAAUGAAAUGUUCUCUUUCUAUUCCAUGCAAUGGAAACUUUAGCUAUCUGUGGUCUAGCCUGAACUGUACAUGGGGCAGUGACAAUGGCCUUCUGACCCUAUGGCUCUUCCUGGCUGUGGAUAGAAUUGAUAGCACUUUUUCAAUUUCUCCCUUGUCUUUGCUUGAACAUACUGGAAUUACAACCUCUGACAAAGGGGAUUGCAGUGGCAAAGCUAGGCUAGGUCUUGGAGGCUGGUGUAAGGCGAUGCGGGUGAAGGCAGGAGGCUGAUGGAAAGACUGGGGGGAAGAAAAGCCGAAAUGGAUUCACGGUGCCUUGGAUGAAGGACGAGAGGGGAACUGCAAGCUCCUUCAACUGGUUCUGUCCGGUGAGAAGUGAUCAAGCUUGGGCUGACAAGAGGCUCAGGGAGCCCUCACGUUCUUUCGCUUUUUUACCUGCCAAUCAAACUGCUACAAGACAACACCCUGAUCUGGCAUGGACAUGUAAGUAGCUUGCAACCCAACUUUGACAUUCACUGCUAGCUCACUCCUCCCCCCACCUCACUUUCUUCCCCACUCAUUCUGUUUUUCUUUCUUUUUUUUUUUCUUUUGACCUUUAAGAGAUCUGGAAAUACACCCUGUGUGGCAGUCAUUUAACACUG